Molecule: ribosomal RNA, 433 nt
Filed under: uncultured bacterium
Lineage: Bacteria
Description: partial 16S ribosomal RNA
Rfam family: Bacterial small subunit ribosomal RNA
Source: RNAcentral
AACGAACGCUGGCGGCAUGCCUAACACAUGCAAGUCGAACGAGACCUUCGGGUCUAGUGGCGCACGGGUGCGUAACGCGUGGGAACCUGCCCUUAGGUUCGGAAUAACUCCCCGAAAGGGGUGCUAAUACCGGAUAAUGUCUUCGGACCAAAGAUUUAUCGCCUUUGGAUGGGCCCGCGUUGGAUUAGCUAGUUGGUAGGGUAAAAGCCUACCAAGGCGACGAUCCAUAGCUGGUCUGAGAGGAUGAUCAGCCACACUGGGACUGAGACACGGCCCAGACUCCUACGGGAGGGAGCAGUGGGGGAUAUUUGGAAAUGGGGGAAAGCCUGAUCCAGCAAUGCCGCGUGAGUGAUGAAGGGCUUAGGGUUGUAAAGCUCUUUUACCCGGGAUGAUAAAGAAAGGACCGGGGGAAAAAGCCCCGGCCAAAUCCGGG